RNAcentral lists this long non-coding RNA (13258 nucleotides) under Malus domestica (apple). Its description in RNAcentral is "long non-coding RNA (MDOM_LNC011612)". Lineage: Eukaryota; Viridiplantae; Streptophyta; Magnoliopsida; Rosales; Rosaceae. The record is from RNAcentral.
GACAAUGACAAUUUGACAUUGUAUGCUUACAACUAGAAGAGGUGUGGUUUGGUCCGGUUGCAACUUUGAUGAAGAUUUCCAUAGUGUUCAUGAUGGUAAAGUUUACAGGGGUGUAUUCUUUUUCAUUUGUUUUUCUUGAUUAAUUAGACGCUAAAGAGGAACUUUCUAUGGAUUCUCUGAUACCUUCUGCUUUUGACACAAUAUUUUAUAAUGUUGAUACGAAAAUUGACUUUAAACUGCGAGGUGAUUGAGAGUUUAUGGAGAGUUCUCUACUUUGAGAGAGUCCUCUUAACAUUUCUCUUUAAUGUUGGCAGAGAUGUUAUCCCUAAAUGGAUUUCAAUCAAUGUAAUUCUCUCGCACGAAGUGCACCGCGAUAAGGAAAGGCCAAUUUCUACACGCAUAACUGCGUAAGCGCGCUACAAGUGGCUAAUGAGAAUAAUAUUUAAGGACACAAGAUACCAUACUGUAUCAAUCAGCUGGUCUAAUAAAAGUCUGUUUCAUUUUUGUUUUUAAUUGGGGCAUGUUUCUACGUCAAAUUCAUUACCCCAUAAAUAAGAUCCCAUGUGUUAGCAUGUGGGAAGAAGAGAGGGUCAAGUACAUCCUCUCCAUGAAGAUUAUGGUUUGGACUUUAGGAUUGAAAAUUCAGAGGACGGCUACAUCACGUGCAUAGUAUGUGCAUUCGGAUAAGUCCCUAUUGGUCGCUACACACUUAAAGCCUUCACCACCGCCGUUGUUUCAGCAUGCCGCGGUAUCCUACGAGCCGUUAGAUUUUCAUUACAGCCUGGAGGCUGGUCGGGACUCGAUUUCAUCCCAAUGCUCGUGGGUGGCAAUCAAAGUGAAAGUUUGUGUUCAAAUUGUGUUCCUCCUGUUGAUGCACAAAAUCAGCGAAGACUUUGGUACAACAGAAAGUGUCAGGUUUUGUGACCUUCGCUUGGUUGCUUCGGUCACUAGUGAGGAUAAGUACGUAAAUGAAUAGAGACAGAGAAGCAAACACAGGAUGUACGUGGUUCACCCAGAUUGGCUACGUCCACGGAGUAGAGGAGUUCUUAUUAGUAGUGAAGGGCUUACACAAGUACAAAGGAUCAAGCUCUCAAUUUAGUGAGUUCUUGUGAAUGAUUUAACACAAAUGGCAUUAGGCAAUAUUGUGGGGGGAUGACCCCUAUUUAUAGAAAAACUUGUAGCUUUGUCACAUUGACAUGUGUCAUGUUAUGAUUGGUUCUUGAUGUUGACACGUGCUGCGCUCUGAUUGGCUUCUAAUCUUGACACGUGUCGAGUAGUGAUUGGCCUCCUGGUCGGAGGGGAACUCUUCUGGGUCCUUGACAGUAUAGCGUUGGCCGGUGCUCGGUAGUUUCGGGAUUGGUCAAGUAUGGUAAAACAGUGCUCCCCUAAGUUCCCGAGUGAGGGAAACUCCUCGGUUGGGGACUUGCAAGAUCCAAUCCCUUGAGUAAUCACGAAACUUCUAAGUACCGAAGUGUGGUCUGAUCUUCAUCUGCCCUUCUCUGGAAGUACCUUUCCUCCAUCCGGGAAUGGUGUAUUUAGCUGAUGUUGACGCACAAGGUAAUGUAUCAAUUUCACUUGAAGCUUAGUUGUAGUUUCGGGCUUAGUCAAGUGUGAUACAAACCCUAUAGUAGGAGUCCCCCAAGUCGCCGAGCUAGGAGAUCUGCCGAAAGAGGUGACAGACAAGGUAAGCAGUCAAACUUCCAAGUAAGCAACCCAGGAUCAGAGGUUUGACUUCGGCUUCCGGUUGAUUGUUCUCCUUCUCCUUGUCUCUCAUUCAAACUGCCAGGAUAAGGAGAAGCAAAUGGAUAAGAGAUGAUAUGAGAUACUUUUGCUUUUGAAGAAGUAACUUUCCACAGGCUUAUUCUUGAACUGUGCUGGAGGGUUUUCUGGUGCCCUUCAGAGUAUAAGGCCGACUCAAAAAUUUGAGGGUCAAAACAAGUCCAUCAAAUCUAGAGUAUGUUCGACCUUGAUGAUAUGGGAUACUUUUGCUGUUGACGGAAUAAUGAAUGUGGUAUGGAAAGGUGUCGUGCUGUAGUGAUCUGUUUCAGCUCACCGUUGAACCUUCUGCUUCAAUCUUUUGCAUGGCAGAAGUGGUGUGCAACCUUUGCAUUUUAAAUGGUCCUUCAGAACAUUCCUUCAUAGUGACUCAUCCACGCUUGGCAGCUUCAGUGUAAAGAGCCAAUAUCUGAUCAACAACUGUCAUGAGGUAUUUGCCGGUGGAAUUCGUGACCUUGACAGCAGUUGAGGAUGAGUACUCGAGAGCAAUGCUAAGUAAGCAACCAGGCAAAGGCUCCAGGCAGUCAGUUCCAAAUUGGAGGUUUGAUUUCAGGUUCCGACUGACUGCUCUCUUUCUCCUUGUCCUGCAGGUGUGGACAAGGACAAAGACAAAGACAGGGAGAAAGCAUGAUAUGGGAUACUCUUGCUUUCGACCCUGAUGAUAUGAGAUACUCUUGUUCUUGGUGUGGCUUAUUUGCUGAGGCAUUAUCGGGGGGAAAUAAAGCUGAGUAUUUCGAGAGGUUAUGUUGAGGGUGCCUUUUCGAAUGCGAGAAAGGGUUGAGCAUUUUUGCAGGUUUUUUUGUCCGUUGAGGAGGGAGGUCAAUGUAUAUAGGGAUUUCCCAAUAACAAGUAGUAAUGCUAUUCCUUUACCCUUCUUGGUCACAGCAAUGUAGUGGGAGCUGCCAGCUUCACGUGUUUUAAUUUUGUCAGAGCACUUUGAAAAAGUGGUAUGUGGUAUCUGGAAAGCUGAUGUUACGUGUGAAGAUUACAGACAAGCUUUAUCUAAGGAAAUCUGGCUCUCGAAGUUCUGAGAGUUGUGCCUCUUCGGUUUUCGAACAAGCAAUCCCGUCGAGGAUCUGACUCUCGAGAUUCGGAAAGCGGUGCUACUCCGGUUUUUUAGAAAGUAUUAUGUUGGGAGUCUUUUCUCGAAUGUGAGUAAAGGUUGGACGUUCUUGCCAACCUGUCUUGCCACAAAACACGGAGGUCGACACACAUAGGGACUUUCCAGUUGUCAAGCAGUGGUGCUGUUCCUUUACCCUUAUGGGUAAUAGUAGGGUAGCUGGAACUUCGAAAUUCUCGUGCCUAAACUUUGUCAGAGAUCUUUGACAAAGUUAUAUGUGGUACCCGAGGAGUUGAUGGUGCAUAUGGAGAGCGGUGAUUGAACAGUAAGAUUCACGUGCUUUCUACUUCACCAGAAAUCUUCGACAGAGUGCCCGUAAUUUCCGCAAAGCUGAUUGUGCAUGUGACAGGUGCUGACGAGGCUGAAAAAGCAGGUGCUUCUUCGAUUUCUGAGAUCGGCCCUCGUGGUCUCUGAGCAGCCCAGCUUUUGAGAAAGCAAACGCCUCUUCGAUUUCUGAAGCUCCGUCCAGUGCAGAUUUUUAUAGAGGCUGACAUUAAGUUCCACAGCACACUUGAAUCUCUACCAGUAGAAGCUCAUUUCUUGCACUUCUAAGAUCUUGAUUUGUCUGACCUCUUCCCUCUUCAACACAUUUGAAAAUGUCUGGACCCUCCGACCGUCGUUUUGACUUGAACCUUGGAGAAGAGACAGCCACGCCUUCUCCAGACAACAUAUAUGGCGCCCAUCCUUCAUAUCCCCUACCGGUCCUCUUACCGUUGGGGAUUCUGUGAUGAAGAAUGAUAUGACCGCUGCAGUGGUGGCCAGGAACCUUCUCACUCCCAAAGAUAACAGACUACUUUCCAAACGGUCUGAUGAGUUGGCUGUUAAGGACUCUUUGGCUCUUAGUGUUCAGUGUGCAGGUUCUGUGUCUAAUAUGGCCCAACGCCUAUUUGCUAGAACCCGCCAAGUUGAAUCAUUGGCUGCUGAAGUGAUGAGUCUCAAACAGGAGAUUAGAGGGCUCAAGCAUGAGAAUAAGCAGUUGCACCGGCUCGCCCAUGACUAUGCUACAAACAUGAAGAGGAAGCUUGACCAGAUGAAGGAAUCUGAUGGUAAGGUUUUACUUGAUCAUCAGCGGUUUGUGGGUUUGUUCCAAAGGCAUUUAUUGCCUUCGUCCUCUAGGGUUGUACCUGGUAAUGAAGCUUCAAAUGAUGAACCUCCAAUGCCUCCUCCUUCUGGGGUUUUGUCAAGUACUGAGGCUCCGGAUAACCACCCUCCGGUGCUUUCUCUUUCUGGGGCUCUACCGACUGCUGAGACUUCCCCUAAGCAACCUUUGUGAAGGCUCCUUUUGUUUGUUUAUUUUGACUCAUGUAUAUGUACAUAUUUGUGGCUUAUCGAAAAUAUUAAUAAAUAAGCUUUGCUUCAUUUCAACAUAUUGUGUUAAAUACACCAAAGCCUUCUUCAUAAAGUUCUUUGAAUUUUUGCUUUUGUUGAAACCUGUAUUAUUGAAGCUUUGUGAGUGAAGCAUGUAGUUUGAGGUAAUGUUCCCUUAAUUUCACGAGUGAGGAAAACUUCUCGGUUGGAGACUUGAAAAAUCCAAGUCACUGAGUGGUUGUGAGACUGCCGAGUAUCAAGGUGCAGUAGCAUAUGGUGGGAGUCCCCCAAGUCUUCAGGCGAAGAGAGUUGCCGAAUGAGGUGUCUCGCGUGUUACUAAUUUGUCAAAGUAACGAAUCCUUGUUUCGAUGUCACACAUUCGUAUAUGCUUUAUCUAAAAAUAUUUCCAACUUUUGUGUGUUUGAUGCUGCAUGCUAUUGACUAGACAAGAUCAAGUGCAAUUAGUAGCUUUUCUCUCUUUUUCAUCUUUUCUUUGGUGGAAUUGCUUUUCGUUUCCACUAAUCAGCCUGAGUGGAUGCAAGAUAACACCUUUCUCUAUAGCUCAGAUUGCAAAGUCGUCUUCAUGAAAGUUUUUCCUUAUCUUGUGAACUACAACAUAUCCAAAUUUGAGAUCCAUCGGAGUAGUACAACUUCAGAAAUUCAAGUAUGAUGAGUAACUGUUCAUCAAUGUUCUGUUAAUCCGUCAGACUUGUUGUGAGCUUCGAAACUCCAUUUUUCUCUUGUUCAGAUCAACAUACUUUCUUCAUCGAAGUUGUUCCUCAGCUUGUGAACUACAACAUAUCCAAAUUUGAGAUCCCUCGGAGCAGUAUAACUCCAGAAAUCCAGGUAUGAUGAAUGACUGGUUAUUAUUUUUCUGUCAACCCGUCAGAUUUGUUGUGAGCUUCGAAACUCCAUUUUAUCUUGUUCAGAUCGGUAUGCUUUCUUCAUUGAAGUUGUUCCUCAGCUCGUGAACUACAACAUAUCCAAAUUUGAGAUCCCUCGGAGCAGUAUAACUCCAGAAAUCCAGGUAUGAUGAAUGACUGGUUAUUAUUUUUCUGUCAACCCGUUAGAUUUGUUGUGAGCUUCGAAACUCCAUUUUCUAUUGUUCAGAUCGGCAUGCUUUCUUCAUUGAAGUUGUUCCUCAUCGUCUCUUUCAUAACAUAUCAAAAAUUCAGAAUGAACUAAUGGUUAAAUAUUUCCAGAUCUUCGAAACAUCACAGCAGCUUCGAAAUCUGCAAGAAUCCGACUGUCAUGUUUGGAGCUUCAACACUUUAAUUUCCGUCGCUCAAACAGAAAUGGUUCCUUCUUGAAAGUUGUUCAUAUGCUCAAGAACUAUAGGGUGUCCAAAAUUCAGCUCCAUUGGAGAAGAGCAGAGGUUGCAGAAAUUUGAUAGAUGAAAGGAGGCGGAAGAGGGAGAGAGAGAGAAAAAAGUCUCUUGGGUUGGAUUUCUAUUUUGGGGCAGAUUCCAAUUUUUGUAGCACCUUCAUUAUUGAUGAAUUGCUUGUACUUUUGUCCAUUAUGAAACUUGGGACUUUGGCUUGUUGUUGGAUCUAUUAUAAUAUGUUUGGGAACAUAUAUAAGUGAAUAAAUAAGAAGGAAAAAUUUUGGGCCCUUGUGGGUGUAAAACAAAAAAUGUUUAUGUUUACCCAAGUGUUUUUGUACAAGUUCAAGGGCAUCUUGGGUUUUGUGAACAAAAUUUGUUUAUUUGGAGCAAGGUUUUUGUGUUGAAGCUUUGUAGGUGAAGCUUUGGUGUUGAAGCUUUGUAGAUGAAGCUUUCGAGGUGAAGCUUUGAUGGUGAAGCUUUGUAGAUGAAGCUUUCUGGGUGAAGCUUUGAUGGUGAAGCUUUUGUAGAUGAAAGUAUGUAGAGGGAGCUUUUCUAGGUGAAGAUUUUUUAGGUGAAGCUUUGUAGGUGAAGCUUUUUUAAGUGAAGCUUUUCGGGUGAAGUUUUUUUUUGGGUGAAGCUUUGUGGGUGAAGCUUUUUUUAGGUGAAGCUUUGUGGGUGAAGCUUUGGAGGUGAAGCUUUUCGGGUGAAGCUUUUUUGGGUGAAGCUUUUUUUAGGUGAAGCUUUGUGGGUGAAGCUUUGUGGGUGAAGCUUUUCGGGUGAAGCUUUUUGGAUGAAGCUGUUUUUUUUUUUUUUUUUUUUUUUUUUUGGCGCUUGACACGUUCUUCAUUUGCUUGUUUUGUAAUGACUGUGGAAGACGGAUUGCUUUCUGAUUGAGAAGGGUUCCGGCAUCGCUUGCUAUGAAUGUAAAAGAGUGAGGGCUGAGUUGGCUAAAUUACCUCUUUAUUGAAUUCAUUGCCAAAUGGCCUUCAUUACAUAGGAUGCCGAACGGCUAUAGCUCAACACUUGUACAUCGUGAGUCUAUUUGUAGUAGUACUUCAAGUGAUCAGCGUUCCAUGGAUGGCCAAGGGUCUUGCCAUCAGAGCUUCUAAGUGUGUAAGAGCCAGGGCGACUGAUGCCAAUGACUUCAUACGGUCCAUCCCAGUUUGGACUAAGUGUGCCUUCACUCGGGACUCUGUCGCAGAGUAAUCUUUUCUUUAAGACCCAGUCUCCUAUUUUGAAAGAACGAGGCUUGACCUUAGAGUCAUAAUAGUUGGAGAUGCGCUGCUUGUAGGCGACAUUCCUCAAGUGAGCUUGGUUUCUGUGUUCCUCGACUAAAUCCAAGUUGAGGGUGAGUUGUUUGUCAUUUUCACUUUGAAUGUAGUUCUGGACUCGGAAUGUUGCUUGCUCGAGCUCAACAGGGACAACCGCCUCUGUGCCAAAGGCAAGUGAGAAUGGAGUUUCUCCUGUUGAAGUCCGAUAUGAAGUGCGAUAUGACCAAAGAACUUGGGGUACAAAUUCUGGCCAACAGCCUUUAGCUUUGUCCAAGCUGGUUUUCAAAGUGCGCUUGAUUAUUUUGUUGAUGGCCUCAACUUGUCCAUUAGACUGGGGAUGAGCUGGAGAGGCAAAGCAUAAGUUGAUGUUGAACUUAGAGCAGAACAACCUGAACUUCUUGUUGUCAAAUUGUCGCCCAUUGUCAGUGACUAUCGCAUUGGGAAUGCCGAAUCUACAAAGGAUGUUCUUCCACACGAAGUCUUCUAUCUUUGCCUCAGUAAUGGUUGCCAAGGGUUCUACUUCGGCCCACUUUGUGAAGUAGUCCACUGCAACGACUACGUAACAGACUUUGCCCUUCCCUGCCGGCAUUGGGCCGAUCAAAUCAAGUCCCCACUGGGCGAAGGGCCAAUGGCUGAUCAUAGGAGUAAGAGGCUCUGGAGGGGAAUGAGGAAUAGUUGCAUAUCGUUGACAUUUGUCACAUGAGCGGGAUACUUUGAUGGCAUCCUGGUGGAGUGUUGGCCAGUAAUAUCCUUGGCGAAAAGUCUUGUGUGCUAGGGACCGAGAUCCAGCAUGAUCUCCACAGACUCCCUCAUGUAUUUCCCGAAGGACGAUUUCCGCCUCGGCAGGCGUAAGACACCUUAAGUAUGGCAGGCUAAAACCUCGCUUAUAGAGUUGAUCAUUGAUGAUCAGGUAGCGGGUAGACUUGUAUCGAAUUUGCUUAGCCUGGACUUUAUCAUUUGGGAGGGUGCCAUGAGCAAGGAAAUUAUAGAUCGGGGUGAUCCAACUAUCCCCCUGUUGUAAGUUGCAUACUUCUGCGGCCAUGGUGCUUGGUGUUGCCAACAGUUCGACAUGAAUUUUUCUUCCAAUCUUGUCUUCCACAGCUGAGGCGAGGCGAGCCAGGGCGUCUGCAUGACUGUUUGCCGCUCGAGGAACUUGGGUGAUCUGGUAGUGGAAGUGCUUGAGCAAAAGUUGUGUUUGCGCAAGAUAUGCUGCCAUGGAGCUGUCCUUAGCAUCAAAGUUGUUGGUAACCUGGUUGACCACUAAUUGGGAGUCACUGAAAAUAUCAAUUUGUUUAACCCCGAGGUGUUUGGCCAAACGUAAUCCUGCUAGAAGGGCUUCAUACUCGGCCUCAUUGUUUGAUGCCUUGAAUUUGAAACGAAAAGCAUACUCCAUUGCUACUUUGUCGGGCGUAGUCAAGACUAGUCCCGCUCCACAGCCCUGUUGGUUGGAUGAGCCAUCAACAUACAGACUCCAUGCUGAGGUCGUUGAUUCUACCUUCUGAGCUUCCGGGGGUAAUGAAGCCACUGCUUCAGGUGUAGAAGCAAUGUCAACCGGAUAUGUGAAGUCGGCAAUGAAGUCUGCCACUGCUUGGCCCUUCUCAGCUGGCUUUGGUUGGUAGGAGAUGUCAAACUCACCCAAUGCUAUCGCCCAUUUGAUCAUUCGCCCAGACGUGUCAGGACUCUGGAGUAUAUGUCGAAGAGGGUGAUUGGUAAGCACGAUGAUGGCGUGUGCUUGGAAAUAAGGGCGAAGUUUCCGAGCAGACAUGACCAAUGCUAGAGCUAAUUUCUCAAUGUUGGAGUAUCGUGUCUCCGCAUCUUGUAGGGCCUUGCUAGCGUAGUAGACGGGCCGUUCGACACCACUGUCCAUUCGAAUAAGAACAGAACUGACUGCUGAAGCCGAAACCGAUAGAUAGAUGAUGAGAGUGUCACCAACUUCUGGUUUGGAGAGCAGAGGGGCUUUACUCAUGUACUCUUUGAGGUUCCUGAAUGCCUUGGCACAUUCCUCCGUCCAUGUAAUGUACUUCUUAUUUCCCUGAGUGCUUUGAAGAAAGGAGCACAUCUGUCUGUGGCCUUAGAAAUGAACCUGGUUAAGGCUGCCACCUUGCCAGUAAGGCUCUGGAUGUCCUUUGAAGUUACCGGUUCCUUCAUGUCGAGGAUUGCUUUGAUCUUCUCAGGAUUAGCUUCAAUGCCUCGUUGGCUAAUCAUGAAACCUAAGAAUUUGCCAGAGCCUACGCCGAAGGCACAUUUGUUGGGGUUUAACCUCAUUCGAUACCUCUUCAAAAUAGUGAAAGUUUCAGAUAGGUUGGUGAUGUGUUGGUCAGCAUGUUUGCUCUUGACUAACAUAUCAUCAACGUAAACUUCCAUGCUCUUCCCAAUCUGCUCGGCGAACAUUGAGUUGACUAGUCUCUGAUAAGUCGCUCCUGCAUUCUUUAGGCCGAAAGGCAUGACUUUAUAGCAGUAUAGUCCUCUGUCGGUAGUGAAGGCUGUGUGUUCUUGAUCCGAAGGGUUCAUGAGGAUUUGGUUGUAUCCUGAGUAAGCAUCCAUGAAGCUCAGGAGUUCACACCCGGCCGUAGAGUCUAUAAGUCUGUCAAUAAGAGGAAGAGGGAAGCUAUCUUUCGGACACCCUUUGUUUAGGUCGGUGUAGUCAACACACAUUCUCCACAAGACCUUUUGAAGCAAAAGACUUUCUUUGGUCGGAUUUUUCUUAACAAGGACCACAUUUGCUACCCAUGUCGGGUAAUUGACUUCGCGGACAAAGCCUAUGCCUUUGAGUUUUUCAACUUCUGCUUUCAUUGCCUCGUAUCGUUCAGCGUCAUAAGAUCUUCGCUUCUGUCUCACCGGCUUGAUCUUGGGGUCAAUACUCAAACGAUGACAGAUGACAUCGGGAGAGAUGCCUGGCAUGUCCUCGUAUGACCAGGCGAAGACUUCAGUGUUCUCUUUCAAAAAAGAUAUCAAUGCUAACCGAAUGGGUGGUGACAAUGUGGUGCCAAUCUUCACCAUGCGAUCUGGAUAAUCUCUUGAGAUAGGUACCUUCUCCAACUCUUCAGCAGGUUGGGCUUGCUGGGUAAAAGAGUCAUCUCGAGGAUCAUCGGGUUGAUUGUUGCUAUCAGGAAGAUCCAAGUUCGCUUCAUCUAGGCUGGUCUUUGUGACUUGGUCAUGUACAGACAGGGUUUCCUUGGGUCCGGGCAAGUGUUGUUGCUUAACUGAAGUGUUGUAACAUGAUCGUGCACUAAGCUGAUCUCCUCUGAUGUAGCCGUUGCCAUGGGGGGUUGGAAAUUUCAUCAACAGCAUAUGCGUGGAUACCAUAGCCUUGAGAUCAUUGAUGCCUGUGCGCCCAAAGAUGACAUUGUAUGCCGUUGGGCAGUCAACCACUAGGAAGUUAGUGGUAAUGGUAGCCGUGUAAGGGCCUGUACCAAUAGUAAAGGGUAAAUGUAUGCUCCCUAAGGGUUGCACGAUAUCACCGGAGAAGCUUAUUAGAGGAGAGAAAUCGAGCGAUCGAGCAAGUGUUCAGCUACACUGAGUGCCCUGAAAGCUUCGGCAAACAUGAUAUUGACCGAAGCCCCUGUGUCUACGAGGAUUCGUCGAACAUCAAAGUUGGCUAUGUGAGCCUCCACGAUCAAUGGGUCGUUAUGAGGGUAGAUGAUGCCUCUUUCUUCCUCAGGGUAGAAACAUAUCGGAUCCCAGUUAGGCUUUUGAUACUUCCCUCCCCUGAUGUCUUCCACGUGAAACACUUGGUGACCAGGCCUCAGAAUUCGUUCACUGUUUUUCAUGGCCCUAUUGGAAGAUUCAGAUAUGGGUGUGUGCCGCCGCUUAUGGAAUAUAUGACAUUCACCUGGCGUUGGUUACGGUUAUCCCUUUGAGGGUGAAGGAGGAAUUGAUCAAUUUUUCCUUCUCGUGCCAAAACUUCAAUACGAUCACGGAGGAUGAUACAUUUCUCGCUAUCAUGGCCGUUAUGCUCAUGGUAGCAACAAAACAUGCCCGCGUUAUUCGGGGGCGUGUAAUCUGGGUGCCUCGGCUUUGGCUUUGGUAUCAGGUGAGCUAUGCUGGGGGUAAAUGGCCGCGCAUGUGGCAUUCAAGGGCGUGUAUGUCUCAUACCUUGGGGUAGGGGGUAUCUUGACGCGGGUUUGACCCACUGCAUUGACUGCCUGGGGGCGAGCGUUAUUGUGGCGAUACCUUUGGUUAUCGGGAUAGUGUCCCUUACUCUUUUUACUGAAAUGAGAGUGGUGAGGAUGGAAAUCCUUCCUCUUGCCUUGAAAUUGAUAUGUCUGUUGAUUCGGCGAAGCAUUAUGCAAGGCAUGGGGAGGUGCCACUGCUGUUUGGAAAGUCGAGGUCUUCUCAUUUAGGUGAGUCUGGCUUCCACCUCCCACUUGUUGAUAAAUGAUGGUUGUAGGGGGUUUCUCCUGAUAUGUCUUUGCCUCGGCGGAGGCAUGGUUAUAAGCCUGCGCCAUCACCUCAGAGUAAGUCUUCCAAGUAUUGGCAUUGAUCAUGUAUUUAAAGAAACAAUCACGUAGGCCUGCCGUGAAGGCUUUGAGGGCAGUCUUGUCGUCUGCCUCGGCACACCGGGAGUAUUCAUGGCUGAAGCGGCCAGCAUACAUACGUAAUGACUCGUCUGGCUUCUGGCGGAUAGUGUACAGGUCAUCUGCAGAGUGCAAGCGAUCGGUUUGGAAAAUGUGUUGGGAAACAAAUAGUUUCCUCAAUUCCUCAAAUGAGUCUACCGUCUCAGGUGUAAGACGACAAUACCAAUUUAGAGCUCCGCCAGAGAGGGUGGAGGGGAAGAGAAGACAUCGCUCUUCGUCGGUGUGCAUCCGGUAUGCCAUGGUGGACUCAAAGAGGUUAAGGUGCUCAAUCGGGUCCUCUUUUCCAGUAUAAAGUUGCAAGCCAAGCUUUUGCUUUGUCUUUGCUUGAAGGGGGGUGUUGAGGAUCCUCCUUGUAAGAGGGCCAGGCCUGGGUUGGUUCCAGUCAGGUAUUUCAGCCUGACGUUCAGCCUUCAACUUGUUUACUUCCUCAAGAAGUUGUAGGACAAGGGGUCCUGAGCGGAGUUAUGUGCCACUGGAGCUUUCUUUCGUAAAUCUCCAUCUCCUCUUGGAAUUAGGAAGGUUUGAUCAAGGGCAUGUGAUUUUUCCCUGGACUCGCUGUACUGGCUUCCAGGGUAUGUCUGUCGGAAACACCUCUGAGUCCCCUGUACCCUCAUGUCUCUCUAGGACUUGUUGCCCCUUCCCCAAAUUGGUGGCCGGCUCGGGCCGUGGCAGGGGACCGAGUCUCUCAGAAAUCCUUGGGUCAUUGAUCUUUGAGCUUAUAUGGAUGGAAUUCUCUCGACGUUGCUUCAGGAAAUCCCGACAAUCGCGAAAGACGGCUUUCGAUCCUUCUGCCCCUUCAGCAAAGAGGUGUCUCCCUCCACUUCUCAUGGUUCGGGUCGAAGCAACUGGGUUAAGAGAAGCCUCAUGUUGAUUAUCAAGUCGAGGGGUAAUCUGUUCCCUAUCAGGGAUAUCUAUGUCGAAUGCAUGUGACCCUCCAUGUUGGAGGGCACCCAGUUGAUGGUUGACUUCCACGGGGGCAACAAGCACGCGUGUCUGAGCUUGCCUAGCUUCGUGGAGUGUCUCGAAGAGCUUCUCAUAUUGCUCCUGGAGGACCUCAUUCCUCAUUGCUAUCUUGUUGUUCUGAGCUUCCAACUCAUCGACUUUAGCUUGAAGAAGAACUCGUUUUCCUUCCUUCUUUCGUUGCUUCGCACUAUGUGCAAGGGGGUGUCAUUCUGUGUGUUGUGGCUUCCUUCGCUUCCCAUGUUGGAGAGGGAUGCCUGGUCAAAAGAAAGUGUACGAAUGAUAGAAACCAGCUUGACACAGCUGAAGAGAGUAGGAAUAAGUGUCGUUCCCACAGACGGCGCCAAAUGUUGAUGCACAAAAUCAGCGAAGACUUUGGUACAACAGAAAGUGUCAGGUUUUGUGACCUUCGCUUGGUUGCUUCGGUCACUAGUGAGGAUAAGUACGUAAAUGAAUAGAGACAGAGAAGCAAACACAGGAUGUACGUGGUUCACCCAGAUUGGCUACGUCCACGGAGUAGAGGAGUUCUUAUUAGUAGUGAAGGGCUUACACAAGUACAAAGGAUCAAGCUUUCAAUUUAGUGAGUUCUUGUGAAUGAUUUAACACAAAUGGCAUUAGGCAAUAUUGUGGGGGGAUGACCCCUAUUUAUAGAAAAACUUGUAGCUUUGUCACAUUGACAUGUGUCAUGUUAUGAUUGGUUCUUGAUGUUGACACGUGCUGCGCUCUAAUUGGCUUCUAAUCUUGACACGUGUCGAGUAGUGAUUGGCCUCCUGGUCGGAGGGGAAUUCUUCUGGGUCCUUGACAGUAUAGCGUUGGCCGGUGCUCGGUAGUUUCGGGAUUGGUCAAGUAUGGUACAAACACCUCCAAAUUCAAUUAGACUUGAAAAAAAAUUGAGUCGUGCAAAAAAUUAUUUUAAAUUAAA